AUAAUAAAACACUCUGCACGGAGGACACAGCCGGUGGGUGUUGACGGACGAGGAUACAUGGAGCGGAGCGGACAUGCAACACACAAACGUUUGUGUUGACGGACGAUGAGUAGGUUGAACAGAUUAGCGGUUAGCAUAGCCGAUUGAACAUUGUUCAAAAAGGAGUCCCUGUUUGAAAUAAAGUCAGAUUAAAGAUUUUUAAAAAAGAGGAAGAGGUUCAGUCAUUUAGCUCUAAUAAAUGUCCUGAUGUCAGGGAGUCUGCUCAGAGAUUGAAGAAGAGUCUGAGUCAGGAACUUUUCUGUGUUUUGAAGCAUUUCAUCACAUCGGGCUCAUGAUGUUGUUUAAAAUCCCCAAAAAAUCACAGAAAUGUUCUCCUAAUAAACCACAGAAACACUGAAAUGAUGAAUGAUGAAACUUCCUCCUACGUGACCUGAUCAUCGAAGCUCCUGGGAAAUUAUUAAGAAAUAAACCAAAUACACUCUCAGCAGAAUUCAAACUUCCUUAAAGGCAGGGUUGGUCAUUUCCUCCAGAUCCACUUUUUCAGAUUCUGGUUAAUUGUCUUUAGGUCCUGACAGAAAUUAAUAACUCAUGUUCUCUGAAACAGGAAAGAAGAAAAUCCGUCAUCUGUAUCAGUUUGUAAGUCUGUAAAAACUUUGACCAAUGUCUGCCACGAGGUACCAAUCUGAUGAACCAAUCAGACGCCUCCCUGUCUCCCUGCUCGCGCUCUACCUCUUAGCGUGCUCUAGCUCACACUCAAAGCAUGUCACUGAUGACUUUAGGAGUUUAUACUGAGAGUUUACUGACCGCUGAAUGAGACAUGAGACGACGUAGUUUCUACACAAUGACAGAGAUGAGCUGAGGUCCACUUCUGGAGAAACUGCGCUCGUGCAUAUCUUUGAAACAGGUCGUUCUGGUGAACUCUACGCAGAUGACGUUAGGCUGUUUGUUUCCUUCAUGUCGAUGUUUUGUACGCCCCUCCACCUCCCCAUCACCGCCCGUCUUCAAAAAAUCAUCAUCUAUCAAUUCUUCACCCAUCCGGUCUCAAGUCAGCAUCUCCACCACGAGGGUCUGGACUCCAUCCGGUCUCAACAAGUGCAGCUCACCAUGAGGGCCUGGACUCCAUGGGGGGUUUAUUCUGCGGCGGCCCAGAAGGGACAUUCUCCAAACACAUCAGACCCCCCAUAGAGUCCAAGUGCCAAAGACCUUCUGUCUGGACUCAUUUCCAUGAUUUCUAAUGCAAUUAAUCAUUUUUUUUAUUCA
Long non-coding RNA from Labrus mixtus (cuckoo wrasse), 1260 nucleotides. RefSeq lists it as uncharacterized. The transcript has 3 exons. Lineage: Eukaryota; Metazoa; Chordata; Actinopteri; Labriformes; Labridae. The record is from RefSeq and is a predicted model, not a curated record.